RNAcentral lists this ribosomal RNA (521 nucleotides) under uncultured Lachnospiraceae bacterium. RNAcentral describes it as "bacterial SSU rRNA". It matches the Rfam family "Bacterial small subunit ribosomal RNA", at positions 1 to 507 of the family's 1533-position model. Lineage: Bacteria; Bacillati; Bacillota; Clostridia; Lachnospirales; Lachnospiraceae. The record is from RNAcentral.
AGUAGUUUGACUCCGUGGCUACGAGGAUAGAACGCGUGGCGGCGUGACUUAACACAUGACAAGUACGAACGGACUGUCUAUUUUAGAAGCUAAUUAGUCUUGACGUAGGGUGAAUGUGGCAGUUAGUGGCGGACGGGUGAGUAACGCGUGGGUAACCUGCCUUACACAGGGGGAUAACACCUGGAAACAGGUGCUAAUACCGCAUAACAGGAAGAGGCGCAUGCCACUUUCUUGAAAACUCCGGUGGUGUAAGAUGGACCCGCGUCUGAUUAGCUGGUUGGCGGGGUAACGGCCCACCAAGGCGACGAUCAGUAGCCGGCCUGAGAGGGUGGACGGCCACAUUGGGACUGAGACACGGCCCAAACUCCUACGGGAGGCAGCAGUGGGGAAUAUUGGACAAUGGGGGGAACCCUGAUCCAGCGACGUCGCGUGAGUGAAGAAGUAUUUCGGUAUGUAAAGCUCUAUCAGCAGGGAAGAAAGAAAUGACGGUACCUGACUAAGAAGCCCCGGCUAACUACGUA